CGAACGGGUGAGUAACACGUGAGCAACCUGCCCCAAGCUUUGGGAUAACCCCGGGAAACCGGGGCUAAUACCGAAUAGGACCUUUGGCCGCAUGGCCGGGGGUGGAAAGUUUUUCGGCUUGGGAUGGGCUCGCGGCCUAUCAGCUUGUUGGUGGGGUGAUGGCCUACCAAGGCGACGACGGGUAGCCGGCCUGAGAGGGCGACCGGCCACACUGGGACUGAGACACGGCCCAGACUCCUACGGGAGGCAGCAGUGGGGAAUAUUGCACAAUGGGCGGAAGCCUGAUGCAGCGACGCCGCGUGAGGGAUGACGGCCUUCGGGUUGUAAACCUCUUUCAGCAGGGACGAAGCGAGAGUGACGGUACCUGCAGAAGAAGCACCGGCCAACUACGUGCCAGCAGCCGCGGUAAGACGUAGGGUGCGAGCGUUGUCCGGAUUUAUUGGGCGUAAAGAGCUCGUAGGCGGCUUGUCGCGUCGACCGUGAAAACUUGGGGCUCAACCCCAAGCCUGCGGUCGAUACGGGCAGGCUAGAGUUCGGUAGGGGAGACUGGAAUUCCUGGUGUAGCGGUGAAAUGCGCAGAUAUCAGGAGGAACACCGGUGGCGAAGGCGGGUCUCUGGGCCGAUACUGACGCUGAGGAGCGAAAGCGUGGGGAGCGAACAGGAUUAGAUACCCUGGUAGUCCACGCUGUAAACGUUGGGCGCUAGGUGUGGGGGACCUCUCCGGUUUCCUGUGCCGCAGCUAAC
This 744-nucleotide ribosomal RNA is filed under the name Micromonospora sp. Its description in RNAcentral is "bacterial SSU rRNA". It matches the Rfam family "Bacterial small subunit ribosomal RNA", at positions 99 to 856 of the family's 1533-position model. The record is from RNAcentral. Lineage: Bacteria; Bacillati; Actinomycetota; Actinomycetes; Micromonosporales; Micromonosporaceae.